Molecule: ribosomal RNA, 242 nt
Filed under: uncultured bacterium
Lineage: Bacteria
Description: partial 16S ribosomal RNA
Rfam family: Bacterial small subunit ribosomal RNA
Source: RNAcentral
GAUCCUGGCUCAGGAUGAACGCUAGCUACAGGCUUAACACAUGCAAGUCGAGGGGCAGCAUGAACUUAGCUUGCUAAAGUUUGAUGGCGACCGGCGCACGGGUGAGUAACACGUAUCCAACCGUGCCGAUGACUCGGGGAUAGCCUUUCGAAAGAAAGAUUAAUACCCGAUGGCAUAGUUCUUCCGCAUGGUAGAACUAAUUAAAGAAUUUCGGUCAUCGAUGGGGAUGCGUUCCAUUAGGG